GUGUGUGUGUGUGUGUCCCCUCAUUUUAUUGGAUCAUUUCGAUCAGCGUUGCUCUAAUCGCUUAACAAUACAGUAAAAUGCUUUCGUGCCAUGCUUUAAACUAAUUUUAUUAUUUGUAUUUUCAAAAUUGAGUUGAAACCAUCUAAAAGAAUUAGCUUUUUCUUUUUUUCACUCUUUAUUUUAUUAAGUGGUUUAUACAAUUAAUUACGUACGUUAUUUCUCCUAAUACAUGCUCUAACUUCAUUUUGAAAAUGACAAAAAACCAUUUAUUUCAGGGGCAGUAUGGGCUGCAACUAGUAGUUGGGCUAUUGUGAAAGCCGGAUAAUUAUUUGUGGGCCAUAGGUGACUAUUUUUGAUGGAAGUGGUUAUCAUGAAGUUUAAUUUUGAGUAAGUUGGUCAAUUGACCAAUAAAGUACUGACACACAUGCGAGGUUCUAUGUGUGUCAGCAUUUUAUUGGUCAAUUGACCAAUAUACUCAAAAAUAAACUUCGUGCUAACCGGAUCUAACCGGAUCCAUUUUUGAUUGCUGCCCCGGUGUUUGAUACAUAUAUGCAUAAACCCAC
RNAcentral lists this long non-coding RNA (563 nucleotides) under Panax ginseng (ginseng). Its description in RNAcentral is "long non-coding RNA (PGIN_LNC002446)". The stretch from base 371 to 492 matches the Rfam family "MIR6135 microRNA precursor family". The record is from RNAcentral. Lineage: Eukaryota; Viridiplantae; Streptophyta; Magnoliopsida; Apiales; Araliaceae.